GAUGAACGCUAGCGGGAGGCCCAACACAUGCAAGCCGAGCGGUAUUUGUCUUUCGGGACAGAGAGAGCGGCGUACGGGUGCGGAACACGUGUGCAACCUGCCUUUAUCAAGAGGAUAGCCUUUCGAAAGGAAGAUUAAUACUCUAUAAUAUAUUGAUUGGCAUCAGUUAAUAUUGAAAGUUACGGCGGAUAAAGAUGGGCACGCGCAAGAUUAGCUAGUUGGUGAGGUAACGGCUCAACACGGCGAUGAUCUUUAGGGGGCCUGAGAGGGUGAUCCCCCACACUGGUACUGAGACACGGACCAGACUCCUACGGGAGGCAGCAGUGAGGAAUAUUGGUCAAUGGGUGCAAGCCUGAACCAGCCAUCCCGCGUGAAGGACGACUGCCCUAUGGGUUGUAAACUUCUUUUGUAUAGGGAUAAACCUCUCCUCGUGAGGAGAGCUGAAGGUACUAUACGAAUAAGCACCGGCUAACUCCGUGCCAGCCGCCGCAGUAA
Molecule: ribosomal RNA, 495 nt
Filed under: uncultured bacterium
Lineage: Bacteria
Description: partial 16S ribosomal RNA
Rfam family: Bacterial small subunit ribosomal RNA
Source: RNAcentral